UUGUUGCCUGUGCUUUUCAGGUUUUAUUCAUAAAAUAUUUUCUCAAACCAAUUUUCUGAAGCAUUUCUCUGUUCUACUUAAUAGUUUUAUUAUAUUGGGUCUUACAUUUAGUUCAAAGUGGGGGUCUAGUUUCAUUCUUCUGCAUAUGGAUAUCCAAUUUCCCUAGCACCAUUUAUUGAAGAUAUUGGCCUUUCCCCAGUGUAUGGUCUUGGCAAUUUUUGACAAAGAUGGAAAAGCAAUUCAUAGGAGGAAUUACAACUUUUUCAACAAAUGGUGCUAGAGUAAUUGUAAUUUAUAGGCAAUAAAAAUGAACAUAAACCUAAACUUCACAUGUUAUACAAAAAUGUAAAAUGCAUUAUGUAUUUAAACAUAAAACAUAGAACUGUUAAUCUUUUAGAAGAGAACAUAGGAGAGAAGCUCUGUGACCUAGUCUUGCAUGAAGGGUUCUUAAAUAUAACAUUAUUAGUAAGAUUCAUAAAAGAUGAAAAUGAAUAAAUUGGACUUCACUGAAAUUAAAAACUUUUGCCUUCAGAAUAACACUGCUAAGGGAAUGAACAGACAAGAUAGAAGCUGGAGACACAAUAUUUGGAAACCACUUCCCUGACAAAGGGGUAGCAUAUAAAAUACAUAAAGAACUCUCAAAACAAACAGCCUGAUUAGCAAAUGGCAAAAAAAUUAAAGCCAUGAUGAGUUAUCACUACAUACCUAUCAGAAUGGCACAAAUAAAAAUUACGACAAUACCAAAUACUGUUAAGAAUGUGAAGAGAGUGGAUCUCAUUUUGUUGCUGGUGGUAUGUAAAGGGGCACAGUCACUCUUGAAAACAGGUUGGCAAUUUCUUUAUAAACUAAAUAUGCAGCUAUCAUAUCAUUCAGCAAUUCCACUUUGAGGGAUUUAUUCAGGGAAAUGAAAACUUAUUUUUAUAGAACUUGUACAUAAAUAUUCAAAGAAGUUUUAUUUAUAAUAGGCAGAACUGGAAGCAAUCCAGAUGUCUUUUAAUAGAUGAAUGGUUAAACAAACUGUGAUAUGUCAAUGUUUAUUCAUGAUCUAUUUGGUGUCACAAGACUCAACCAGGUGCUUAAAUACAUUUGUGACUUAAAUUUCAUAAUGUAAAUAUUAUUAUCCUAAUUUUGUAGAUUAGAAAUUUGAGUUUAAGGGAGUUUAAUAGCUUAGCCAAUGUCAUUCAGGGCAAAGGCUAGAAUUUUCAACCUGAGUUCAUGGUAUUCCAAAACCCAUUUAUAUCCCACCACAGGAAGCUGCCACGAAAAUUAGGUGAGGGACUAUGUGUGCUUGUUAUUCUUUGUAAUCGAGAAGGAUAUAACUAAUCAUGUUAUACCCUGUCUAAGGACUACUUCUGUCAUUACAUUUUCAGCCCAAAGUGAUUGCCUAAGAACAGACUUUCUUAUUCAGUAGUUUCCAUUCAAUGCAUUUACCUAGGUAGGUAUCUGCAAAGUCAUGGCAUUUGAUGAGACUUCACCAAGAAAGAGAAUAGGCUUAAACUCUCUUCUGUUGACUCAUUUAACUAAGUAACAGAACUAAUGCUUAUUCUUUUUCAUAAUUAGGUUUGCAACCUCAUUUUUGGAGCCUAAAACACUCAUUUGAUCACAUGGAUGCCUGGAAUGACUUUGUUUUACAAUGCAUUUCCUUGUCUUCAGAGUCAACUAAAGCACAACCAUUGAGGUCCAUCCCCAGUUAUGGAACAGAUUAUGGGAAGGAAAAUGAGUUUCAGAAAGUUGUUCAGGUCACACAUGUGAAUGGAUCUCAUGAGAUCUGAUGGUUUUAAAAACAGGAGUCUCC
Long non-coding RNA from Macaca mulatta (Rhesus monkey), 1795 nucleotides. RefSeq lists it as uncharacterized. The record is from RefSeq and is a predicted model, not a curated record. Lineage: Eukaryota; Metazoa; Chordata; Mammalia; Primates; Cercopithecidae.